Long non-coding RNA from Monodelphis domestica (gray short-tailed opossum), 1374 nucleotides. Lineage: Eukaryota; Metazoa; Chordata; Mammalia; Didelphimorphia; Didelphidae. The record is from Ensembl.
CAGCUGUGUACCAUAUCUCCCAUUAUGAUGUGAUCAUUCAACGGAAUGCCACCAAUUCUCUAGCUCUUGAUGUGUGUAUAUGGAAAAGAUCUGGGUUCAGAGAGUCCUGUUCUGAAGUUUUCAUGAGCCAACUAAAAGACUUAAACUAUGAAGAUUUUUGAGAGAAGCCAACUUUGAACUCUUAAACAUUCAGUUGCCUCGGUUGGGCAAUCCACAAACAGAAAUGAGAAGAUGGAGACAUGUUGGAUUCUUUUAUGGAUCCAAAUUUUAUGGAUCCAAGGGUAGCCCAAGGGAACUUGAACAAAGGACAAUAGCUCCUUGAGAUUUUACUUCCUAGAAUCUGUGAUUCACAAUACCACCUCUAGGUGGCAGGAAUGUACUAUGAAGCUAUGAAGUCACUUGCUUGUCAAACUUAUUCUCGUUUUAAGAGCACGAAAGCAAUAAGGCUAAAGACAGAUGCAAAGGAACAUUUUUUAUUGAUUAGUUCUCUGGCUCGACAACUCAGUGGCAUUCUCUCCUGAGCUGGAACAGGCUGGAGGGAGGCAAAGAAUACCAAUAACAUUAUAGAGCAGGCAGCAAACAACAUUUGCAUGGAAAUCAAUAAAGCUAACAUUACCUUCGGGUGCAUCAAAAGGGCCCUAAUGCCUAGGACACAGGAGUUAAUAGUGCCUGGAUACUGGUCAGGCCAAACCUAGAUGUGAGGAGGAAAUUUGGUUCUCUCACUCCGUUAUUGAUGCAGACACAGGAAACAAAGACGAGGAACAGUAUGGACUGUCUCCAGUCUGGAAGCCUAAAGGCUCUGCAAGCAGACACCACAGCCCAACAAGAGGAAAGACUUCAGGAGCAACUCUGCCCCUCCAGCUCCAGGUCCCCUUUGGAUUUCUCUGGCCUGGAGCACAGACCUUGUAAGAAGAGAUGCUUGUCUUCUGUGGACUCAGCCAGUGAUCCCUCAACUUCAAGAGUGGAAAACCAGGGAACAAGAAGGUGAAUGCCGUCUGGGGGAGAAUUCUGUGGCAACAGCUCCCCAGAACCUGUUUCUGAAGGCUCCUGCUAUCUUGUAUGCCUACAGAGAAAAUGAAUUCCCCCUUCCUCCGCAUUCCAUCCAGGAGACUCAGUCACCUUCAGAGCUUCCCUCUGACUCCAGUGACUUAGACCUGGAUGCAAUCCUCCUCGAGCUACUCCCAGAUGCUUAUCCAUCUGCCAUGCCUUAUGAACCUUCACAGGAUGAUCAGUAGGAAGACAUAUUCCCUCUGCUCUCCUGGGAUCCCUGUGGCAAUAGUGGAACUCAAACAAAAGGGCACAUGGUUGGGUUAAUUUCCCCAUUCAUUAAAAAUAUAUUAUUUGUUAUUUAUUUAUAUAUUUAUAACUAUGUUU